Molecule: ribosomal RNA, 277 nt
Filed under: uncultured prokaryote
Description: partial 16S ribosomal RNA
Rfam family: Bacterial small subunit ribosomal RNA
Source: RNAcentral
UACGUAGGGUGCGAGCGUUGUCCGGAAUUAUUGGGCGUAAAGAGCUUGUAGGCGGUUUGUCGCGUCUGCUGUGAAAAUCCGGGGCUCAACCCCGGACUUGCAGUGGGUACGGGCAGACUAGAGUGUGGUAGGGGAGACUGGAAUUCCUGGUGUAGCGGUGGAAUGCGCAGAGAUCAGGAGGAAUACCGAAGGCGAAGGCAGUCUUCCAAGCCGUUAUUGACGCUCAACUGCGAAGGUAUGGGUAUCAAACAGGAUUAGAUACCCCCGUAGUCCCUGA